RNAcentral lists this ribosomal RNA (489 nucleotides) under uncultured bacterium. RNAcentral describes it as "partial 16S ribosomal RNA". It matches the Rfam family "Bacterial small subunit ribosomal RNA", at positions 30 to 507 of the family's 1533-position model. The record is from RNAcentral.
UUGAACGCUGGCGGCAGGCCUAACACAUGCAAGUCGAACGGUAACAGGAAGCAGCUUGCUGCUUCGCUGACGAGUGGCGGCCGGGUGAGUAAUGUCUGGGAAGCUGCCUGAUGGAGGGGGAUAACUACUGUAAACGGUAGCUAAUACCGCAUAAUGUCGCAAGACCAAAGAGGGGGACCUUCGGGCCUCUUGCCAUCGGAUGUUCCCAGAUGGGAUUAGCUUGUUGGUGGGGUAACGGCUCACCAAGGCGACGAUCCCUAGCUGGUCUGAGAGGAUGACCAGACACACUGGGACUGAGACACGGUCCAGACUCCUACGGGAGGCAGCAGUGGGGAAUAUUGCACAAUGGGCGCAAGCCUGAUGCAGCCAUGCCGCGUGUAUGAAGAAGGCCUUCGGGUUGUAAAGUACUUUCAGCGGGGAGGAAGGGAGUAAAGUUAAUACCUGUGCUCAUUGACGUUACCCGAAGAAGAAGCACCGGCUAACUCCGUG